CGAACUCUGGUAUUGAUUGGUGCUUGCAUCAUGAUUUACAUUUGAGUGAGUGGCGAACUGGUGAGUAACACGUGGGAAACCUGCCCAGAAGCGGGGGAUAACACCUGGAAACAGAUGCUAAUACCGCAUAACAACUUGGACCGCAUGGUCCGAGCUUGAAAGAUGGCUUUGGCUAUCACUUUUGGAUGGUCCCGCGGCGUAUUAGCUAGAUGGUGGGGUAACGGCUCACCAUGGCAAUGAUACGUAGCCGACCUGAGAGGGUAAUCGGCCACAUUGGGACUGAGACACGGCCCAAACUCCUACGGGAGGCAGCAGUAGGGAAUCUUCCACAAUGGACGAAAGUCUGAUGGAGCAACGCCGCGUGAGUGAAGAAGGGUUUCGGCUCGUAAAACUCUGUUGUUAAAGAAGAACAUAUCUGAGAGUAACUGUUCAGGUAUUGACGGUAUUUAACCAGAAAGCCACGGCUAACUACGUGCCAGCAGCCGCGGUAAUACGUAGGUGGCAAGCGUUGUCCGGAUUUAUUGGGCGUAAAGCGAGCGCAGGCGGUUUUUUAAGUCUGAUGUGAAAGCCUUCGGCUCAACCGAAGAAGUGCAUCGGAAACUGGGAAACUUGAGUGCAGAAGAGGGACAGUGGACUCCAUGUGUAGCGGUGAAAUGCGUAGAUAUAUGGAAGAACACCAGUGGCGAAGGGCGGCUGUCUGGUCUGUAACUGACGCUGAGGCUCGAAAGUAUGGGUAGCAAACAGGAUUAGAUACCCUGGUAGUCCAUACCGUAAACGAUGAAUGCUAAGUGUUGGAGGGUUUCCGCCCUUCAGUGCUGCAGCUAACGCAUUAAGCAUUCCGCCUGGGGAGUACGGCCGCAAGGCUGAAACUCAAAGGAAUUGACGGGGGCCCGCACAAGCGGUGGAGCAUGUGGUUUAAUUCGAAGCUACGCGAAGAACCUUACCAGGUCUUGACAUAGUAUGCAAAUCUAAGAGAUUAGACGUUCCCUUCGGGGACAUGGAUACAGGUGGUGCAUGGUUGUCGUCAGCUCGUGUCGUGAGAUGUUGGGUUAAGUCCCGCAACGAGCGCAACCCUUAUUAUCAGUUGCCAGCAUUAAGUUGGGCACUCUGGUGAGACUGCCGGUGACAAACCGGAGGAAGGUGGGGAUGACGUCAAAUCAUCAUGCCCCUUAUGACCUGGGCUACACACGUGCUACAAUGGAUGGUACAACGAGUUGCGAACUCGCGAGAGUAAGCUAAUCUCUUAAAGCCAUUCUCAGUUCGGAUUGUAGGCUGCAACUCGCCUACAUGAAGUCGGAAUCGCUAGUAAUCGCGGAUCAGCAUGCCGCGGUGAAUACGUUCCCGGGCUUACGCACACCGCCCGUCGACUUCAUCAGAGUAGGUAACACCCGAAGUCA
Molecule: ribosomal RNA, 1397 nt
Filed under: Enterococcus durans
Lineage: Bacteria; Bacillati; Bacillota; Bacilli; Lactobacillales; Enterococcaceae
Description: bacterial SSU rRNA
Rfam family: Bacterial small subunit ribosomal RNA
Source: RNAcentral